UUACUAUGAUGGUUGCAUAGUUCAACAGACUGAAUCGUGAAAGAGAUAGAUAUACCAUUUAUCUGAUGUAGAA
RNAcentral lists this small nucleolar RNA (73 nucleotides) under Balaenoptera musculus (blue whale). Its description in RNAcentral is "Small nucleolar RNA SNORD77 (ENSBMSG00010006497.1)". It matches the Rfam family "Small nucleolar RNA SNORD77". Rfam says of the family: U77 belongs to the C/D family of snoRNAs. Lineage: Eukaryota; Metazoa; Chordata; Mammalia; Artiodactyla; Balaenopteridae. The record is from Rfam by way of RNAcentral.